GACGAACGCUGGCGGCGUGCCUAAUACAUGCAAGUAGAACGCACAGUUUAUACCGUAGCUUGCUACACCAUAGACUGUGAGUUGCGAACGGGUGAGUAACGCGUAGGUAACCUGCCUGGUAGCGGGGGAUAACUAUUGGAAACGAUAGCUAAUACCGCAUAAUAUUAAUUAUUGCAUGAUAAUUAAUUGAAAGGUGCAAUUGCACCACUACCAGAUGGACCUGCGUUGUAUUAGCUAGUAGGUGAGGUAACGGCUCACCUAGGCGACGAUACAUAGCCGACCUGAGAGGGUGAUCGGCCACACUGGGACUGAGACACGGCCCAGACUCCUACGGGAGGCAGCAGGAGGGAAUCUUCGGCAAUGGACGAAAGUCUGACCGAGCAACGCCGCGGGAGUGAAGAAGGUUUUCGGAUCGUAAAGCUCUGUUGUAAGAGAAGAACGGGUGUGAGAGUGGAAAGUUCACACUGUGACGGUAGCUUACCAGAAAGGGACGGCUAACUACGUG
Molecule: ribosomal RNA, 505 nt
Filed under: uncultured bacterium
Lineage: Bacteria
Description: partial 16S ribosomal RNA
Rfam family: Bacterial small subunit ribosomal RNA
Source: RNAcentral